Molecule: long non-coding RNA, 273 nt
Filed under: Homo sapiens (human)
Lineage: Eukaryota; Metazoa; Chordata; Mammalia; Primates; Hominidae
Description: HSALNT0179836
Source: RNAcentral
CAAGGAAGAGGGAAGAGGGUGGGAGCAGAAUUAUGAAGAUGAAGGAGGCACGGGGCGAGCUGUGGGUGUGGGCGUGGGUAUGGCUAGUUUCCUGCACCAAAUCUGUGCAGAGAGGCCAGAAGUUGGCUGUGAUUCAGAAAGGCAGAUGGAUAUCAUUCUGAGCUGCUGCUCAAAACUCUAAACCCCAGAGCCACUGUUGGUUGAUCCACUGUGUUCAGAUGGCCGGGAAGUAGGCGGGUCUAAUCAGGAGGAAUUAAACUACCCCCUCCCUGU